UACAGAGGUCUCAAGCGUUGUUCGGAUUCAUUGGGCGUAAAGGGUGUGUAGGUGGCGCCGUAAGUCGGGUGUGAAAUUUCGGAGCUUAACUCCGAAACUGCAUUCGAUACUGCGGUGCUUGAGGACUGGAGAGGAGACUGGAAUUCAUGGUGUAGCAGUGAAAUGCGUAGAGAUCAUGAGGAAGACCAGUGGCGAAGGCGGGUCUUUUGGCCUGUAACUGACGCUGAGGCGCGAAAGCGUGGGGAGCAAACAGG
Molecule: ribosomal RNA, 254 nt
Filed under: uncultured bacterium
Lineage: Bacteria
Description: partial 16S ribosomal RNA
Rfam family: Bacterial small subunit ribosomal RNA
Source: RNAcentral